Molecule: non-coding RNA, 91 nt
Organism: Mycena vulgaris
Lineage: Eukaryota; Fungi; Basidiomycota; Agaricomycetes; Agaricales; Mycenaceae
Source: the annotation of a GenBank genome assembly
GCGGCCGUGGUGCAUGGCGCACAUCUGCAUCGUAUAUCUGGCCUGACGCGAAUCCAAGCAGCUAACUGGGGUUCGAUUCCCCGCGUCCGCA